This 119-nucleotide ribosomal RNA is filed under the name Pteropus alecto (black flying fox). The record is from RNAcentral. Lineage: Eukaryota; Metazoa; Chordata; Mammalia; Chiroptera; Pteropodidae.
GUCUACAGCCAUGCUACCCUGAAUAAGCCCAAUCCCGUCUGAUCUCGGAAGCUAAGCAGGGUCGGGCCUGGUUAGUACUUGGAUGGGAGACCACCUAGGAAGACUAGGUGCUGUAGGCG